CGAACGAGUGGCGCACGGGUGCGUAACGCGUAUGCAACCUACCUUUAACUAGAGGAUAGCCCGAGAAAUCGGGAUUAAUACUUUAUAAUAAUAAGAUCAGACAUCUGAUUUUAUUUAAAGCUCCGGCGGUUUUAGAUGGGCAUGCGUGACAUUAGUUUGUUGGUGAGGUAACGGCUCACCAAGACUACGAUGUCUAGGGGUUCCGAGAGGAUUUUCCCCCACACUGGUACUGAGACACGGACCAG
RNAcentral lists this ribosomal RNA (245 nucleotides) under uncultured bacterium. RNAcentral's name for it is "partial 16S ribosomal RNA". It matches the Rfam family "Bacterial small subunit ribosomal RNA", at positions 88 to 334 of the family's 1533-position model. The record is from RNAcentral.